AUUGAACGCUGGCGGCAGGCUUAACACAUGCAAGUCGAGCGGGGGAAGGUAGCUUGCUACCGGACCUAGCGGCGGACGGGUGAGUAAUGCUUAGGAAUCUGCCUAUUAGUGGGGGACAACAUCCCGAAAGGGAUGCUACUACCGCAUACGUCCUACGGGAGAAAGCAGGGGAUCUUCGGACCUUGCGCUAAUAGAUGAGCCUAAGUCGGAUUAGCUAGUUGGUGGGGUAAAGGCCUACCAAGGCGACGAUCUGUAGCGGGUCUGAGAGGAUGAUCCGCCACACUGGGACUGAGACACGGCCCAGACUCCUACGGGAGGCAGCAGUGGGGAAUAUUGGACAAUGGGGGGAACCCUGAUCCAGCCAUGCCGCGUGUGUGAAGAAGGCCUUAUGGUUGUAAAGCACUUUAAGCGAGGAGGAGGCUACUUUAGUUAAUACCUAGAGAUAGUGGACGUUACUCGCAGAAUAAGCACCGGCUAACUCUGUGCCAGCAGCCGCCGUAA
This 501-nucleotide ribosomal RNA is filed under the name uncultured bacterium. Its description in RNAcentral is "partial 16S ribosomal RNA". It matches the Rfam family "Bacterial small subunit ribosomal RNA", at positions 30 to 523 of the family's 1533-position model. The record is from RNAcentral.